This 421-nucleotide ribosomal RNA is filed under the name Platypterocarpus tanganyikensis. Its description in RNAcentral is "eukaryotic LSU rRNA". The stretch from base 2 to 157 matches the Rfam family "5.8S ribosomal RNA". The record is from RNAcentral. Lineage: Eukaryota; Viridiplantae; Streptophyta; Magnoliopsida; Celastrales; Celastraceae.
UGACUCUCGGCAACGGAUAUCUCGGCUCUCGCAUCGAUGAAGAACGUAGCGAAAUGCGAUACUUGGUGUGAAUUGCAGAAUCCCGUGAACCAUCGAGUUUUUGAACGCAAGUUGCGCCCGAAGCCGUCAGGCCGAGGGCACGUCUGCCUGGGUGUCACGUAACGUCGCCAAAAAUUCUCUCACCCCUUCUAACGGGGAACAAUGAGGACCGGCGGAUAUUGGCCUCCCGUUCGCGUACGCUUGCGGUUGGCCCAAAAUAAGCUUCCCGGCGCGGCAGCCACGACACGCGGUGGUUUGUAGCACAUGCUCCUUUUAACACCGUCGUGGGCUAUAGCCCUGUAGACCGGGAGCCAAAGACCCCGACGCAGAGCGUCCUCGUAAAGCGACCCCAGGUCAGGCGGGAACACCCGCUGAGUUUAAG